This 54-nucleotide transfer RNA is filed under the name Brentisentis yangtzensis. Its description in RNAcentral is "tRNA-Leu". Lineage: Eukaryota; Metazoa; Acanthocephala; Palaeacanthocephala; Echinorhynchida; Leptorhynchoididae. The record is from RNAcentral.
ACUAGAUUGGCAGAUUUAUGUGUCAAAUUUAAGUUUUGGAGAAAUUAUCUAGUU